Molecule: ribosomal RNA, 478 nt
Filed under: uncultured bacterium
Lineage: Bacteria
Description: partial 16S ribosomal RNA
Rfam family: Bacterial small subunit ribosomal RNA
Source: RNAcentral
GAUGAACGCUGGCGGCGUGCUUAACACAUGCAAGUCGAACGAGAAAUGGAGACGGAAACCUUCGGGCGGAAGGCUUCAUUUCGAGUGGCGGACGGGUGAGUAACGCGUGGGUAACCUGCCUCAUACAGGGGGAUAACAGUUGGAAACGACUGUUAAUACCGCAUAAGACCACAGCACCGCAUGGUGCGGGGGUAAAAACUCCGGUGGUAUGAGAUGGACCCGCGUUCGAUUAGCCAGUUGGCGGGGUAACGGCCCACCAAAGCGACGAUCGAUAGCCGAUCUGAGAGGAUGACCGGCCACAUUGGGACUGAGACACGGCCCAAACUCCUACGGGAGGCAGCAGUGGGGAAUAUUGCACAAUGGGGGAAACCCUGAUGCAGCGACGCCGCGUGAGUGAAGAAGUACUUCGGUAUGUAAAGCCCUAUCAGCAGGGAAGAAAAUGACGGUACCUGAGUAAGAAGCCCCGGCUAACUACGUG